UACGUAGGGUGCAAGCGUUGUCCGGAAUUAUUGGGCGUAAAGAGCUCGUAGGCGGUUUGUCACGUCUGCUGUGAAAUCCCGAGGCUCAACCUCGGGCCUGCAGUGGGUACGGGCAGACUGGAGUGCGGUAGGGGAGAAUGGAAUUCCUGGUGUAGCGGUGGAAUGCGCAGAUAUCAGGAGGAACACCGAUGGCGAAGGCAGUUCUCUGGGCCGCAACUGACGCUGAGGAGCGAAAGCGUGGGGAGCGAACAGG
RNAcentral lists this ribosomal RNA (253 nucleotides) under uncultured bacterium. RNAcentral describes it as "partial 16S ribosomal RNA". It matches the Rfam family "Bacterial small subunit ribosomal RNA", at positions 524 to 776 of the family's 1533-position model. The record is from RNAcentral.